GAUCUGAGAAUCCGCGGAAACACAGAACAGGAAUCAGAAUUCAGAACAAAGAAAAGCAUAUAUUACGAUGCGGCCUCUAAAUUCAUUCCAGAAAUUAUCGAGAUCUGGUUUCUACCUUCGACGAGACUUUUCGCAAGGAAAAAAAGUCAUUGUCUAGACGUUGCUUGCAAAUAUAAACUACGUCAAAUUAUUGGAGGAUGGAUAACCACGUAAGUCAAUCAAUUUUUAUCAUGUAGUUCUUUUCUUUGUCUUUUAUCAUUUGGUAGUAGUCUUUUGUAUGUCCAUGUCAUAUCAAUCUUUGGGACAUUAUCGGCAUCUCCACUAUACCUGUAUAUUAGGUUUUGUGUGAUUCAUUGUUACUUUAUGAGUGUGUCACAGUUACCCUAAAAAGACGGAACCAACCAUUUUGCAAAGGGACAAAACGAAAACUCUUUUCAUGCAUUGAUAACCAUUUGGUUUAUUCAAA
Cucurbita pepo subsp. pepo (vegetable marrow) is the source of this 466-nucleotide non-coding RNA. Lineage: Eukaryota; Viridiplantae; Streptophyta; Magnoliopsida; Cucurbitales; Cucurbitaceae. The record is from RefSeq and is a predicted model, not a curated record.